RNAcentral lists this ribosomal RNA (507 nucleotides) under uncultured bacterium. RNAcentral describes it as "partial 16S ribosomal RNA". It matches the Rfam family "Bacterial small subunit ribosomal RNA", at positions 30 to 523 of the family's 1533-position model. The record is from RNAcentral.
AUUGAACGCUGGCGGCAGGCUUAACACAUGCAAGUCGAACGGUAACAGAGAGAAGCUUGCUUCCCUGCUGCCGAGCGGCGUACGGGUGAGUCAUGCCUAGGAAUCUCCCCAGUAGUGGGGGACAACUUGCCGAAAGUUAAGCUAUUACCGCAUACGUACUACGGAAGAAAGGAGGCGACCUUCGGGCCUUUCGCUAUUAGAGGAGCCUAGGUCGGAUUAGUUAGUUGGUGGGGUAAUGGCUCACCAAGACCGCGAUCCGUAACUGGAUCUGAGAGGAUGAUCAGUCACACUGGGACCGAGACACGGUCCAGACUCCUACGGGAGGCAGCAGUGGGGAAUAUUGGACAAUGGGGGGAACCCUGAUCCAGCCAUGCCGCGUGUGUGAAGAAGGUCUUAGGAUUGUAAAGCACUUUAAGUUGGGAGGAAGAGCAGUUAACUAAUAUUCGACUGUUUUGACGUUACCGACAGAAUAAGCACCGGCUAACUUCGUGCCAGCCGCCGCCGUAA